Molecule: transfer RNA, 72 nt
Filed under: Bos taurus (domestic cattle)
Lineage: Eukaryota; Metazoa; Chordata; Mammalia; Artiodactyla; Bovidae
Also listed under: 1 other name
Rfam family: tRNA
About the family: Transfer RNA (tRNA) molecules are approximately 80 nucleotides in length.
Source: Rfam by way of RNAcentral
UCCCUGGUUGUCUAGUGGCUAAGAUGCUGAGCUCCCAAUGCAGGGGCCCGGGUUCAAUUCCUGGUCAGGGAA